This 341-nucleotide long non-coding RNA is filed under the name Homo sapiens (human). RNAcentral's name for it is "HSALNT0291562". Lineage: Eukaryota; Metazoa; Chordata; Mammalia; Primates; Hominidae. The record is from RNAcentral.
CAGGUUCAAGCAAUUCUCCUGCCUCAGCCUCCCGGGACUACAGAUUCAUGCUCUCCAUCUCCAGAUCAUGAACAGCAGCCAUUGUCCUGGGUCCUCCCUCCUCCCCAGAAGGACAUGAAUCCCAGGGAACAGCAGGUGGCCCUAGGUCCUCAGGCUGCCGCUCUUCCCUGGGCUGUCUGGCGCAACGACUGCUUUCCAAGGCCUUUCCUGUAUGUGAAGAGAAGACAGCUGAAGAUGAUCAAAAUGAUCUAAACCUCCUAAAUGGCCCAAAAUAAAGUUUUCUAUGUAAUUGUUUUAAAAAGAGCCAGAUGACUGAGAUUAAAAUGCAGCUCUACCAUGUA